UUUUCUUCUCUCAUACUCUUUGAGAUUAUUAGGGUUUGUUUCCUCCAUCAUCAAUCAAUCACGUUUAGGGUUUCUGCGUUAUCAAUGAAUCACUCUCUGCCUCUCAUUCGUUCCUCUAUGAAUCCGACUCUGAUCUUCGUCAUAAAGGUUAGAUUUUGUCAAUGGAUCAACUAUCAUUCUUGAUAUUUUACAUUUUAUAACUAAUAGUUUCUUUUGUUUUGUAUAUCUCAUGAAAUCAGUUGUAUUGCUCUCUUUCGGAUCUAGAUAUUGCAUUUGUUAAUAAUCUUCAAUCGAUUUUGGUGAUUACAACAGAAGAUUCAAGAUUUCACUGAAUCGUUUUUUCUUCAAUCUCUCCUUUGUGGUUUUCAUCAGAUUUCUCUCCAUUGAUUUUCAAUAGGUUGUUUUCUAUCCCGAUUUGAGUGUAUUUUUUUCUAUUAAAAUGCUCUCUGAUUCAUGAAAUCAAUCAUUUGAUCCCUAAAUGUCGAUUUUAGAUUUCAAAUUUAUUCCAGAAUCUAAUUUUCAUAUUAGGGUUCUGAGAUUUGUGGGUUUCUUUGGACACUAAUGGUCAUGGUGUAUCAAAGAACACAUAGAUGGGUCCGAUGGGGUUAGAUUUGUGUAUGUAACAAUGAUAACUUGCAAGAGAAUCUUCAAAGCCAACUUGAUGGUGGGGCAAAAGAAGGAAAGGAUGGUUUGUAAUUUGCAAGACACUCAACCUAGGAAGAAAAAUAGGCUUAUGACUUCAUCUAAUAAGUGAAUAAUUGUGGAUACAUCAAGAACACCAAUGACACAAAGGUAGUAGUAUGGUCGGUUGAGAAUUUUGAGUGUUUUCAUAUGUUUUCAAGGCUUGGUGCUUAUUAUCUUCAGAUCUCUAAAAGACGUUGAAUUGCAAGAGUUUCGAAGUACAUCAUCCGCAAAAGUUCGAGAAACAAAUCUCACAAGCAAAGAAAGCAUAUAUCGAAAGAGGCAAGUGAGUUUGAAGGUAUCUAUGAUGAUUUGAGAAUUGCAUUCAAAAUCUCCGAUUCCGGUGAAAAUAGGGAAAAUAUGAGUUAGAAAGGGAUCUGCACCAAAUUGGCAUCACCAAGCUUCCAAACCUCUGGUGAAUCUUACAUUUAUGUGGAAUUUUAUCCCAAUUCUGAAUUAGUUUUUGGAUGAAUGUUUCUAUCUUCUUCGUUUUCACAUGUGAGUAUCAGGAAAUCAUGUCUCAGAUGAGUAUUAUUGUCCACGUUAUUUAUUUUGGCACACAAGAUUCAUAACUUCUUUUAUAAUAAAACUAUAAAUUUGUUAUAACAUGCAAUAGUGGAUUGAGAGUGUGCUAAUGGUUCUUAUUUGUUAGUACCAUAUGCAUAAACACCGCAAUCCUAUACCUGUGAAAUAUUUUUUACCUAUAUCCCAUACCCGUAUCGGGAUACCCGUCCCAAAUGAUUCUGCUUUCGAAUAUACCCAUUGGGCUCGGGUUACAAAAUUUUCGAUUCCUACUAAUGCGGUGCCUUAAAUCAUUUUUAUUUCUUUUGGGCUUGGUUAUAAUAGAAUCAUAGGUAAGAUCAUUUAUAUCAUCUUUUUUUAUUAAAUAUACUUACUUGGAUAACUUUUAAACCUUAACUAGGUUGUUGUAAAUAAAUUAUCAAGUGUUCUGUUUUUGUCCAUGAUGGAUGUUUUUUAGAAAUGGCAUGGAUGUUCGUGUUAUGAGAGUGGUUCGUAAUACUACUGCAAAUAUAAGAGUGCAGCUGCAAAUUUGUAAGAACCUAACUAGAUGUCAUAGAUGGUUUAAAAUUUCAUUUUCUACUAUACUAAUUGAAAAGGGUACGUCUACUUUAAAACGAUUUUUAAAGUUAUUUUCCUUUUUUUAACAUUUAUUUCACUAUCACUCCUUCGAAUUCUAUUACUUAACUAAAAGAACAAUAGUAAUAUAAACUUUCAUAUUGGUUGAUGAAGUGAAAAAUAUUGAAGCAGAUCAAUAUUUUUACAACUCAUAUAAGUUUUGGCAUUUUAAAGAACUGGCAACGCUUUUUUUUCUUUUUCCAUUUGAGAUUAUGAACACCACAAAUAGUAUAAAUUAUAUUUUUGUGCCGAAAGUUAUUUUUUUCGUGUGCAGAGCAUCUAAUUAUUGGAUUCCAUUUAUCGGUGUUUUCCCGACAAUGGUUGUAGUCGUUAGGGACAGUAGUUGCACGGUUUGUGGCUUGUGAUUCGGCAAGAGUAACAUGGUUGCAAGUGUGUUUAUGGCUUAAGUUGCAGGCUCCUCCUUCAUUCGAGUCUUUGGGGCAGGCUCUGUUUUUAUGCCUUUGUUUGGACGUGCCAAAGAGGAACAAAAAAGCGAGAUGCGGUCUUUGUAAUGAUGGUGUGGAGGAUUUGGAUGCGAAGAAACGAUAAGCUUUUCAAGGGGAGUAACAUGUCAUAGACAAGAGUAAUGCAAGACAUUAAAUAAACAACCCUUUGGUAGGUGAUGAAGAGAUCUAAGAUUCUAGGUGUUACGGCGUCGAAGUGAUUGUCAUUUAGCGUCUUCUAUGUUGGUUAAGAUAGGUGGUAUAUCGGUGUUGUGAUUUUGUUUCUGCAGGUUGAUGUUUGUUUGGUGUUUUUGUGGUGUAUGAUGUACUAAGUUGUUAUGGGGGCUUGGGUUAAAUCCUUGAUGAGUCCUAGCCCAUGUUUUGGGUGUUCGUUGAAUAAAGUUUGGUUUAAGAAAAGUAACUAUUGUAUAUUUGGCAUGUGAAUAUGAAUUCAGUGUUGAUUAAAUUGUAAUAUUUACGUGAGCA
This is a long non-coding RNA of Helianthus annuus (common sunflower), 2747 nucleotides long. RefSeq lists it as uncharacterized. The transcript is spliced from 4 exons. The record is from RefSeq and is a predicted model, not a curated record. Lineage: Eukaryota; Viridiplantae; Streptophyta; Magnoliopsida; Asterales; Asteraceae.